GGAGACAUGGCUCAGCAGUUAAGAGCACUGACUGCUCUUCCAGAGGACCUGGGUUCAAUUCCCAGUACCCACA
Molecule: transfer RNA, 73 nt
Filed under: Neotoma lepida (desert woodrat)
Lineage: Eukaryota; Metazoa; Chordata; Mammalia; Rodentia; Cricetidae
Rfam family: tRNA
About the family: Transfer RNA (tRNA) molecules are approximately 80 nucleotides in length. Their secondary structure includes four short double-helical elements and three loops (D, anti-codon, and T loops).
Source: Rfam by way of RNAcentral